UGCCAGCAGCCGCGGUAAUACAGAAGCCUCAAGCGUUACCCGGAUUUACUGGGCGUAAAGGGUGCGUAGGCGGUUAUAUUAGUCUUGUGUUAAAACUUCAGGCUCAACCUGAAGAUCGCAUAGGAAACGGUAUAACUAGAGGAAGUGAGAGGUGAACGGAACUCAAGGUGUAGGGGUGAAAUCCGUUGAUAUCUUGGGGAACACCAAAUGCGAAGGCAGUUCACUGGCACUUUCCUGACGCUGAGGCACGAAAGCGUGGGUAGCGAACGGGAUUAGAUA
Molecule: ribosomal RNA, 279 nt
Filed under: uncultured bacterium
Lineage: Bacteria
Description: partial 16S ribosomal RNA
Rfam family: Bacterial small subunit ribosomal RNA
Source: RNAcentral